GACGAACGCUGGCGGCGUGCUUAACACAUGCAAGUCGAACGGUGAAGCGCCUUCCUUUUUGGUGGGUGUGGAUGAGUGGCGAACGGGUGAGUAACACGUGAGUAACCUGCCCCCUUCUUCUGGAUAACCGCAUGAAAGUGUUGCUAAUACGGGAUAUUCUGGGUCUGUCGCAUGAUGGGUCUGGGAAAGAUAUUGUUUCGGUGGGGGAUGGGCUCGCGGCCUAUCAGCUUGUUGGUGGGGUGAUGGCCUACCAAGGCGGUGACGGGUAGCCGGCCUGAGAGGGUGGACGGUCACACUGGGACUGAGACACGGACCAGACUCCUACGGGAGGCAGCAGUGGGGAAUAUUGCACAAUGGGCGGAAGCAUGAUGCAGCGACGCCGCGUGAGGGAUGGAGGCCUUCGGGUUGUGAACCUCUUUCGCCAGUGAAGCAGGCCUGCCUCGUUUGUGGGUGGGUUGACGGUAGCUGGAUAAGAAGCGCCGGCUAACUACGUG
RNAcentral lists this ribosomal RNA (494 nucleotides) under uncultured bacterium. RNAcentral describes it as "partial 16S ribosomal RNA". It matches the Rfam family "Bacterial small subunit ribosomal RNA", at positions 28 to 507 of the family's 1533-position model. The record is from RNAcentral.